GAUGAACGCUGGCGGCGUGCCUAAUACAUGCAAGUCGAGCGAACAGACGAGGAGCUUGCUCCUCUGACGUUAGCGGCGGACGGGUGAGUAACACGUGGAUAACCUACCUAUAAGACUGGGAUAACUUCGGGAAACCGGAGCUAAUACCGGAUAAUAUAUUGAACCGCAUGGUUCAAUAGUGAAAGACGGUUUUGCUGUCACUGAUAGAUGGGUCCGCGCCGCAUUAGCUAGUUGGUAAGGUAACGGCUUACCAAGGCAACGAUGCGUAGCCGAGCUGAGGGGGUGAUCGGCCACACUGGAACUGAGACACGGUCCAGACUCCUACGGGAGGCAGCAGUAGGGAAUCUUCCGCAAUGGGGGAAAGCCUGACGGAGCAACGCCGCGUGAGUGAUGAAGGUCUUCGGAUCGUAAAACUCUGUUAUUAGUGAAGAACAAAUGUGUAAGUAACUAUGCACGUCUUGACGGUACCUAAUCAGAAAGCCACGGCUAACUACGUG
Molecule: ribosomal RNA, 497 nt
Filed under: uncultured bacterium
Lineage: Bacteria
Description: partial 16S ribosomal RNA
Rfam family: Bacterial small subunit ribosomal RNA
Source: RNAcentral